GCGCUAACUUUGGCAGGACAUUACACUAAAAUUGGAAUAAUAAAGAUUAGCAUGGUGCCUGCGGGAAGAUGACAUGCAAAUUUGCGAAGCAUUCCAUAUUUUU
Molecule: small nuclear RNA, 103 nt
Filed under: Sorex araneus (European shrew)
Lineage: Eukaryota; Metazoa; Chordata; Mammalia; Eulipotyphla; Soricidae
Source: RNAcentral